GUUCGGCUACCUCAGUCGGUAGGGCAUGAGACUCUUAAUCUCAGGGUCGUGGGUUAGAGCCCCACGUUGGGUG
This 73-nucleotide transfer RNA is filed under the name Danio rerio (zebrafish). It matches the Rfam family "tRNA". From Rfam's summary of the family: Transfer RNA (tRNA) molecules are approximately 80 nucleotides in length. Their secondary structure includes four short double-helical elements and three loops (D, anti-codon, and T loops). Further hydrogen bonds mediate the characteristic L-shaped molecular structure. tRNAs have two regions of fundamental functional importance: the anti-codon, which is responsible for specific mRNA codon recognition, and the 3' end, to which the tRNAs corresponding amino acid is attached (by aminoacyl-tRNA synthetases). tRNAs cope with the degeneracy of the genetic code in two manners: having more than one tRNA (with a specific anti-codon) for a particular amino acid; and 'wobble' base-pairing, i.e. permitting non-standard base-pairing at the 3rd anti-codon position. Lineage: Eukaryota; Metazoa; Chordata; Actinopteri; Cypriniformes; Danionidae. The record is from Rfam by way of RNAcentral.